This is a long non-coding RNA of Dendrobium catenatum, 393 nucleotides long. RefSeq lists it as uncharacterized. The transcript is spliced from 3 exons. Lineage: Eukaryota; Viridiplantae; Streptophyta; Magnoliopsida; Asparagales; Orchidaceae. The record is from RefSeq and is a predicted model, not a curated record.
AGGAGUCUAGGUUUUGCGGUUUUGCCGUUCCCUCUCUUUUUCGUUCGGCUUCGUUCCUUCGCAGGAGUGUAGAGUUUUGCGCGCUGUUCGACUUCGCUCCUUCGACGACGUUUCGUUCCUGUUGGAGCGGAAGUUACGACAUUUUUUGAUCGAAAGCAACAACGGGGGCUCGCUUGCUGUGAAGGUUUUAGGGUCCUCUCUAGGAAGAGACAAAGAAGGAUGGCGAAGCUCGGAAAGAGAGCUAGAAAGUUUGCGAAGAAGAACCUCCAGUCUAUUCUGAGGAAGAAGCGCAAGUUCAAAGCCAAGCUCAAGCACAAAGAUGCAUCAGUGGGUCACAAGGGCAAUGUUGAAAAAGCUGAUGUGUUGUCAUCUGAAGAACAAUCUAGCGGGUGA